Molecule: long non-coding RNA, 1509 nt
Organism: Oxyura jamaicensis (ruddy duck)
Lineage: Eukaryota; Metazoa; Chordata; Aves; Anseriformes; Anatidae
Exons: 2
Source: RefSeq, a predicted model, not a curated record
GAGGCUGCUCCUUGCGAUCGGCUCUGAGAGCAGGGGCGCCCCGGAGCAAAGCGCAACAAACGCUGGCGGUGAGGGGAGGGCAGGGAUUUGCCUCGCCCCGACAGGGGCAGCUCCUAGGGGGGCUCCCAAACCCGAGGGGCUCCGGGGGAAGCGCUGCAGGGAGAAGUGAAAGGGAGCCGGGGCUGCGGGAGGGAGUGCGGGACCCCCCAGCUCUGCCCCGGACCCCGUGGGUCGCGGAGCCCGCGGGCAGCGGGAGCCCCGGCCCCCUCCAGGGCAUUUUGGGGAAGAAUUAGAUGCUUUCUCCGCCCCUUCCCCUGGAGCACGGAGCGACGUGUCAGCCCCACAGGGUGCUUUCAGGCGCCGGAGAGGGCCGGGAGCGCGGACGGGCCGGUGAGACGUGGCACCGAGGCAUCUUCCCCAGCCACUUCUCUGAACCAAUGUCUUCAAAAUGAAGAGCAAGAGUGAAGGUGAGGAGGUCUGUACCUGCAAAGGGGAGAACGAAGAAUGCCUCGGAUAAAUAAAGAAACGCGAGGAACAAAAAUAAUAGGAAAUAUUUAUAACUCUGGUCUCUUAAAUAGGCCAGAAUUUGGACUGAAUUUAUGAAAAGUUACAAACCUACAUAGAAUUGAUUACAUUUGAAUCUAGAUUCAGGAUUUUUUUAUUUAAUACAUAAUAAAGAUAUCAGUACAUCUUUACCUCUGCUUUGGAUGAUAAUACAUUCUGUUGUCUUCAGCCUUGCACAGAUUUCUUAUAUAGGCUAAUUUAAUUUCACCCUAAUUUUUUUAGUUGUUAAACCCAAGACACCUCCUUACCUUAAGCUAGGGUGAGAAUUUAGCAAUCCAUUAGUUGGUUCCUCUCUGUAUGCGGAUCAUUAAUAGUGGAACCCUGUUUCUACGUCACCAGCAGUACGAGUGGGAUUUGGACAAAGGGUACAUAUAUAUGAACUUACCACUGACAGAUGUUGAAAGCACCUAAUAUAGAGCUAAAUUAGACUUCAGGCUUUUGUGCUGGUCUUUUAGGGGCUAUGUGGGUAGAGAUGAUACUUGGCAUAAAUACUACCUUCACAGAAUUAGAACAUCACAAUUUUUAGAAAAGAUCUUACCCAGCUGUGUAGCCCUCAUACUCAGGCAGUAUUUCUGUGGCACUCUGAUGAAGCAUUAGUAGCCCUAAAUCUAAUUUACCCCAUGAAAGCACACUGAACAAGCAGUGAGCAGCAGGCAAUUAGGAGCGCUGUGUGGGAGGGGACAGCAGCAAUGGAGGUUACAGGUCCAAUCCCCGUUAUAUUUUCCUCUGUUGCUUCUACACUCUGUUCAGUUGCCUGUAAAGAAAAAAUAAAAAUAAAUAAAUAAACUCGAUGGUAUGAUUUGCAACCAGUCUCUUUAGUCUGGAACUGUUAAAACAUAAUGACUAACAACUUGGAAGUUUCUACAGAAAUGCUACUAGACAAAGACAAAAGAGAAAAUAAAUUCAAGCUAAUUAAUGUUUAUCACUUAAAAACAGACACACACA